This 251-nucleotide ribosomal RNA is filed under the name uncultured bacterium. RNAcentral describes it as "partial 16S ribosomal RNA". It matches the Rfam family "Bacterial small subunit ribosomal RNA", at positions 524 to 776 of the family's 1533-position model. The record is from RNAcentral.
GACGGGGGGGGCAAGUGUUCUUCGGAAUGACUGGGCGUAGAGGGCACGUAGGCGGUGAAUCGGGUUGAAAGUGAAAGUCGCCAAAAAGUGGCGGAAUGCUCUCGAAACCAAUUCACUUGAGUGAGACAGAGGAGAGUGGAAUUUCGUGUGUAGGGGUGAAAUCCGUAAAUAUACGAAGGAACGCCAAAAGCGAAGGCAGCUCUCUGGGUCCCUACCGACGCUGGGGUGCGAAAGCAUGGGGAGCGAACAGG